RNAcentral lists this ribosomal RNA (387 nucleotides) under uncultured bacterium. RNAcentral's name for it is "bacterial SSU rRNA". It matches the Rfam family "Bacterial small subunit ribosomal RNA", at positions 30 to 418 of the family's 1533-position model. The record is from RNAcentral.
AUUGAACGCUAGCGGGAUGCCUUACACAUGCAAGUCGAACGGCAGCGCGGACUUCGGUCUGGCGGCGAGUGGCGAACGGGUGAGUAAUGCCUGGGGAGCUGCCCAAUCGAGGGGGAUACCAGUUGGAAACGACUGCUAAUACCGCAUACGCCCUGAGGGGGAAAGUGGGGAUCUUCGGACCUAUCGCGAUUGGAUGCACCCAGGUGGGAUUAGCUAGUUGGUGAGGUAACGGCUCACCAAGGCGACGAUCUCUAGCUGGUCUGAGAGGAUGACCAGCCACACUGGAACUGAGACACGGUCCAGACUCCUACGGGAGGCAGCAGUGGGGAAUAUUGGACAAUGGGCGCAAGCCUGAUCCAGCCAUGCCGCGUGUGUGAAGAAGGCCUC